This 124-nucleotide ribosomal RNA is filed under the name Pectocarya anomala. RNAcentral describes it as "5.8S ribosomal RNA". It matches the Rfam family "5.8S ribosomal RNA", at positions 36 to 154 of the family's 154-position model. Rfam says of the family: 5.8S ribosomal RNA (5.8S rRNA) is a component of the large subunit of the eukaryotic ribosome. It is transcribed by RNA polymerase I as part of the 45S precursor that also contains 18S and 28S rRNA. The record is from RNAcentral. Lineage: Eukaryota; Viridiplantae; Streptophyta; Magnoliopsida; Boraginales; Boraginaceae.
AUGAAGAACGUAGCGAAAUGCGAUACUUGGUGUGAAUUGCAGAAUCCCGUGAACCAUCGAGUUUUUGAACGCAAGUUGCGCCCGAAGCCAUUAGGCUAAGGGCACGUCUGCCUGGGCGUCACGC